RNAcentral lists this ribosomal RNA (253 nucleotides) under uncultured bacterium. RNAcentral describes it as "partial 16S ribosomal RNA". It matches the Rfam family "Bacterial small subunit ribosomal RNA", at positions 524 to 776 of the family's 1533-position model. The record is from RNAcentral.
UACGUAGGGUGCGAGCGUUAACCGGAAUUACUGGGCGUAAAGCGCGCGCAGGCGGCCUUUUAAGUCAGAUGUGAAAUCCCCGGGCUUAACCUGGGAAUGGCGUUUGGGACUGGAAGUCUGGAGUGCGGCAGAGGAGACUGGAAUUCCUGGUGUAGCAGUGAAAUGCGUAGAUAUCAGGAGGAACACCGAUGGCGAAGGCAGGUCUCUGGGCUGACACUGACGCUCAUGCACGAAAGCGUGGGGAGCAAACAGG